RNAcentral lists this ribosomal RNA (497 nucleotides) under uncultured bacterium. Its description in RNAcentral is "partial 16S ribosomal RNA". It matches the Rfam family "Bacterial small subunit ribosomal RNA", at positions 28 to 507 of the family's 1533-position model. The record is from RNAcentral.
GAUGAACGCUGGCGGCAUGCCUAACACAUGCAAGUCGAACGGACAGACGAGGAGCUUGCUCCGCUCGCGUUAGCGACGGGCGGGUGAGUGACACGUGGAUGGCCACCCUAUAUGACUGGGGUAACUACGACAAACCGGAGCGAAUACCAGAUGAUAAAAUCAACCGCAGGAGGCACUAGUGACAGACGGUUUUGCUGUCACGUAUAUAUGUUUCCGAGCCGCAUAAGCUAGGUGGUAAGGUAACGGUUUACCAAGGCAACGAUGCGUAGCCGACCUGAGAGGGGGACCGGCCACACUGGAAGUGAGAGACGGUCCAGACUCGUACGGGAGGCAGCAGUAGGGAAUCUUGCGCAAUGGGAGAAAGCCUGACGGAGCAACGCCGCGUGAGUGAAGAAGGCAUUCGGAUGGUAAAACUCUGUUAUUAGGGAAGAACAAAUGUUUAAGUAACUAUGGACGUCAUGACGGUACCUAAUGAGAAAGCAACGGCUAACUACGUG